CAGGCGCGAAAACUUUGCAAUAAGCGAAAGCUUGACAGGGCUAUCCCGAGUGCCAUCCGCUGAGGAAGGCUUUUACCCAGUCUAGAACGCUGGGGGAAUAAGGAGAGGGCAAGUCUGGUGUCAGCCGCCGCGGUAAUACCAGCUCUCCGAGUGGUGUGGAUGUUUAUUGGGCCUAAAGCAUCCGUAGCUGGCUAGGUUAGUCCCCUGUUAAAUCCACCGAAUUAAUCGUUGGAUUGCGGGGGAUACUGCUUGGCUAGGGGACGAGAGAGGCAGACGGUAUUUCCGGGGUAGGGGUGAAAUCCUAUAAUCCCGGGAAGACCACCAGUGGCGAAGGCUGUCUGCUAGAACGCGCCCGACGGUGAGGGAUGAAAGCUGGGGGAGCGAACCGGAUUAGAUACCCGGGUAGUCCCAGCUGUAAACGAUGCAGACUAGGUGUUUGAACGGCCACGUGCCGUUCUAGUGCCGCAGGGAAGCUGUUAAGUCUGCCGCCUGGGGAGUAUGAUCGCAAGAUUGAAACUUAAAGGAAUUGGCGGGGGAGCAC
This 541-nucleotide ribosomal RNA is filed under the name uncultured archaeon. RNAcentral describes it as "bacterial SSU rRNA". It matches the Rfam family "Archaeal small subunit ribosomal RNA", at positions 336 to 879 of the family's 1478-position model. The record is from RNAcentral.